AUGGACGACAACCCUGUCGUCUCUCCUCGCUCCUCUCAGCACGGCGUCGACGGCGUCCUUCACGCCGCUCCCCUAGCCGAUGCACCACCACCACCUCCCGCCGACGCUGCUGCCGUUGCUGCGGCUGUCGCCCCGGCUGCACCACCCCCUCCCGCGCUUCCCGCUCCGGUGCACCCUGCGCCUGCGCCCUCUGUCCCGUCCUCCAUCUUGCAGACGGUUGACAUUCGCCGCCAUGUUCCCGUCACUCUCGACCUCCUCGCCGGCAACUACACGCAGUGGCGCCGCCACUUCAACACCAUCGUCGGCAUGUUCGGCCUCCGCGACCACGUCGACUCCGCGGCCGUCCACCAUCACGGCGAUCCAGAGUGGGACAUGGCGGACCACGUCGUGGUGCACUGGCUCUACAUCACCAUUUCGCCAGAGCUCCUCGACGUCGUCAUGCAGCCGGACGACACCGCGCUCACCGUCUGGGCGGCUGUCGACGGGAUCUUCCGUGACAACCAGCUUGCUCGCGCCAUCUACCUCGACGCCGAGUACCACGCCGUUGUUCAGGGCGACAUGACGGUCAUGGCGUACUGCACCAAACUCAAGCAGUUCACCGAUCAGCUUCCGGACCUCGGCUAG
This 624-nucleotide ribosomal RNA is filed under the name Triticum aestivum (bread wheat). RNAcentral's name for it is "partial small subunit ribosomal RNA". Lineage: Eukaryota; Viridiplantae; Streptophyta; Magnoliopsida; Poales; Poaceae. The record is from RNAcentral.